UGGGGAAUCUUGCACAAUGGGCGAAAGCCUGAUGUAGCGACGCCGCGUGGAGGAUGAAGGCUUUAGGGUUGUAAACUCCUGUUAAGUGGGAAGAAAUGCUCAAAUCUAAUAAAUUUGGGAGAUGACGGUACCAUUAGAGAAAGCACCGGCUAACUUCGUGCCAGCAGCCGCGGUAAUACGAGGGGUGCAAGCGUUAUUCGGAGUGAUUGGGUGUAAAGGGUGCGUAGGCGGUAUGUUUAGUCAAUUGUUAAAUUUCCCAGCUUAACUGGGAGUCGGCAGUUGAUACUGGCGUGCUAGAGGGUGGAAGAGAGAAGUGGAAUUCUCGGAGUAGCGGUAAAAUGCGUAGAUCUCGAGAGGAACACCAAUGGCGAAGGCAGCUUUUUGGUCCAUUCCUGACGCUGAGGCACGAAAGCUUGGGGAGCAAACAGG
This 429-nucleotide ribosomal RNA is filed under the name uncultured bacterium. RNAcentral's name for it is "bacterial SSU rRNA". It matches the Rfam family "Bacterial small subunit ribosomal RNA", at positions 355 to 776 of the family's 1533-position model. The record is from RNAcentral.